RNA transcript from Nematostella vectensis (starlet sea anemone), 6501 nucleotides. RefSeq lists it as uncharacterized. Lineage: Eukaryota; Metazoa; Cnidaria; Anthozoa; Actiniaria; Edwardsiidae. The transcript is spliced from 16 exons. The record is from RefSeq and is a predicted model, not a curated record.
UCUUCUGUCACGUAGCGUUACACGUGACUGGUUUAGACUCACAUUGAUUGGCUGUUUCCAUGCAACGGUCUCUCGCUUAUUUCCACAUUUGAAAAGAAGCUCUUCAAAGAUCAGCCAAUUCAGAAUUUUCCCACAACUAUCAUUUAAAUGAAUUAAUCCAUCAUACGCGUUAUUUUCGGAAUAAUUCACUAAGGUAUCAUUCAACUCGUUUUUUCACUUGCCCUCUUUAUGUCUUAUUCACAGUAUUGGUUUCAACGUAUCUAAAAACAAUUUUCUCUAUUUGUUUCGGUAUAACUUUUGGAAUUUCCUGGUGUACCCGCUAAGGUAAUAACGGACACACCCCUCCCCUAGUUAAUUGUUUCCCAUGACAAAACGCAGUGGCACUGCCCUGCAUAGUGGUGAAUCUUACAUAUUUGGACGAAUUUGAAAAUAAAGAAAUAAAUUAUUGACUGAUAUUCCGAUAGGCGUCAACCUUUUUUAGCCUAACCAGUAUGCUUUCCAUAGUUGGUCUCGGCCUGUUUAAGUGGUAUUUGCUACAACUCAAAUAUGCUCACGAUAUCACGCUUUUUUAAACCAGUCAACCAUUCAAUAAAAACACGAGCGUUAGACGCACUGAAGUCAUCCCGAAAGAAGAAAAAGAACCGAGAAACGCCUCCGUUUUUUCCAAACUACAUAUUAUAAAAACACCAGGUUUCUUGAAAAUCCUACUAUUCUUGUUCAAGUAUUAGGAAGGAUCCAAUACGAUUCUUAUUAAUUCCUGAAGUACUUCUUCAACUAUAACUAUUUGUUAUAGUGACCGGCCUUCCAAUCGAGGUCUAGAAACCUACAACGAACUAAUGGAUCGAUUUCCAUGGUAAAUGUCAAAGGUACGCCCUCAUAAGAGCUUCAGGACACCUCAGAUGUAAGGUUAUGUAUUUUUGUCGAAAAUCAAGAAUUCAAUAGGACGAAGGGUCCCAUUGACGACAACAUCACGAGAACAUUGUUAUCGAGCUCAAGCUUACAAAAAUGGCGACAGAAAUAAUAACAUUUAACAGUAUCGAUGAGAAUAGCAACGUUCCACAAAACGUAAGCAAACAACUGUUAAAGGAAUCCAAAAUGACCCGAACUUUUACAAGUAUUGACUCGGAUGGCAACGAAACGCGUGAGGUACAAGAGUUCAUCUCUUCUGACGGCGGCAAGGAAGGGAUAUCUAUUGAUCUGAAUGGGGUUGAUGAGGAUACAGGAGUCAGAAGGCUUAGUACAAGCAGUUUAGUAUCAGAUGGUACGCCCACGGAGAGCAAUGCAAAACACAAAGACACGCCUAGACCUAAAGAAGAUUGGUACAAGGAAACCCAAAGCAACUUAGCUGAAGAACUAGACGACACAAGGCAGAGGAGUAGAUCCACGGAAGACCUUCUGUCGGACAGCAGAAAAUACUGCAGUAGUAGCAGCAUUAGUAGCAGCACGUACAGUAGCCCUUACCGCAGCCAGCUGUCGGAGAGAAGCAGCUACCUGCAUGACGAUGAGGCUAGGAAAAGAGCCAUACAGCAGUUACUGGACAGCACCAAGAAGUUUUCAAGCAAAGCGUCCAGGAGUACGACUUCAUUUUCCAGCAAGUACCAUCUCGACAGCCUUGUGAGUGACGUCAUGUAUAGAGACCUGCAUAGGCCUUACUCCGAGCGUGCCACAUCGCCGAUAUCCGACCGAGGAUACAGCACUCCCAGAUACUCUAGUCGAUACUCUGUCGGCUCUUACGAGCGGCCGCUAUCUCCUCGAACCAUUUCCGAGCCGCGAGCCUCACCCAUCUCCCCGACUUUGGGAGAUUCCUAUAUGAGCAGUUACCGCCCCCCUGUUGAUAGUGAUGUCAACGAUGUGGAUAGCCUUGCCCGCCACUCAAUCUACACUCGCAAUUACCUCUCCCACAAUGGGGAGGUCCUAAAGGAUGAGGAAAACAGCCACGAGGAGUUCUUCGACAGGCCUAGAAGUCCGCUAGGCCCUACACCUGAGAUUGACAGGCUCAGCAAGUAUUCAUCGACGUAUGGAAGGAUGUAUGGGCCGAAUGGAAGAUCGGACUACAUCAGGGAGAUUUCAACUAGUAGCAGCUUGUUGGAGGCCGAGAGGGCGCGGAUUGAGCGCAAGGCGUCUGGGAUGAGCGCUUUAAGGAGCAAGAUUGCUGCGUUGAGUAAGAGUGUCGAAGAGUUGAGCAAAUACAGGGACCGGAGCUCCCAUCUGCGAAGUUAUGUGUCAGAGCAUGAAGGACGACCUUCUGUGGAGGUCAAGAAAGACUUGCCCAAGGUGGACAGAUACGAGAUCAGGAGCAAGAGAUUAGAACCAAGGCAAUUUGAACUGGAAGGAGAAGUCUAUGACAAGCCUGACCCCACGAUCCCUACCCGGAUACGCUCAUCCGAACCCAUCUCAUCACCAGUAUCCAUUGAUCCUGUCGCUUCCGCACCGCCUGAACGCGUGACGUCAGACAUUCACGUGACUUCACCAACAAAGACGUCAUAUCACGUGACGAUGGAGAAGACAGUUGGGGAUGAGCCUGUGAAAUUGGGCAGUCUGAGUGUGACCGAGUAUCAGAGGGCUGCGGACCUUGGUAUUUAUAUACCGGAACAGGUAACACUGGACAAGAAUAGAAGUUAUUGGGUGGAUGCUCUGACAGCUGAAGACGUGGACAGGUUACAGAAGAUUGGCAACUGGGGAUGGUGGAAGGCAAACACGGUCGAGGGUGAUGGCACACUUCUAGGAAUACAUCCUUCGGAAAAGCACACAGGGGUGAUGCUGGCUACAUACGACACGGGUACAAAACCGCAGAAGUACAUAUGGAUCGGCAAGGAAGAUGGACAGGAAAGCGAACCCGAGGACACUGACAAUCACACACUUACUAGGACUGACUCCAACAUGUUUGUCGAUCGGGCGAAUGAUGGGAGAGUUCAGCUGCUGAUCAGGGUUAAGGCAAAAGACUCUAGUGAGCCGAGGUUUAUCACUGUACGGCCUGGUCCCGUAGAAAAAGCGAUCAUUGUCAGGAACAAGUCAUUGAGCGAGUUACCGUCGUACGCCAAGUAUCACGUGACUAAUAUUACCUCAAGUGAGGGUAUCGAGCUAAAAGACGGAUUCAUCAAAGUUAGACUCGAGGAAAUGACACCAGAAUUUAGGGAAGCCUGGGGCAACAUUGUUGGAGUGACGCCUAAAGAGAUAAUGGAUCAAGACGCAACAAUAGACAUUCCAGUGAGCACCACACAAACAACACCAGAACCGAUCUACGCACGACCCUACAAGAAAAGGAAGUCAGCUCAGCUUGUCCGGGCGCCGACCAACAAUGGUCUCAAAGAGGUAGAACUCAUCGCCAAGGUAUCACGCGAUGAAAACUCACGUUCCCAGUCCACAUCAAGCAGUAGCUGGUCCACAACUACGUCAUCCAACCAUUCCUUCGUUCAGUCCAGAGGCCCUAUGCGAGUGUCAAUCCAUUCCGUCACUUCCAAACCCCGGUCCCCUGGAAGCACGUCAGCGUCUAGCAAUCAUCUUGAGACUUCCGAGACUGAUCUGUCCCCACUCCUCCCCCCUAGCUCACCCGAUUGUUCGUCCUCUGGCUUGUCGUCUUCGGCGUUCUCUGCCCACUACCCCUCAUGGUCUCCUCCCCCCUCCCCCCUUAGGAGAUCCCAGCCACUUGACGACAUCCCUGAGCAUGAGCAAGAAAGCGGACUGGUCACAUCCAACUGGGAACCGCUGCCCCUGAGCGAGGGCUCAGCGUUUGAAGCUGUUACGCCCGCCAAAACAGCGGAAACUAAAAAGUCUAAGGAAGGAUCUAAGUGGUUUUCAAAGAAGUCUAAAGAGACCAAGAAUGGAUCUAAAAAGGAAUCCAAGAAGGAGUCUAAAAGGGAUUCUAAGAAAGGCCAUGACCAAAUAGAUGCUGUAGAUGUCCAGCUACAAGAUACACCGAAAAACGGGCUCGUGAGUGACGUGGUGGAGACGAAGAAGAAUUCUAAGAAAGAAAAGUUUAAAAAGAAGCCUCUAAAGUCAAAAUCGGCUGAGAAUCUUGUUGAAGCCCAACGCACUGAUUUAACCAUAGUCCAGAGCCCGUACACUGAGUGGGUUUGGAGUCAAGACGCGAAACUUGUGCCAAAUUUGUAUAAUGCCCCAAAACACAAUACAAACGGGAAUAAGAGCAAGAAGAAAAGCAAGAAAGACAAAAAAUCGAUGAAAAAGGCAAGCAAGCAUCGCAAAGAGACGGGUGAUCCGCCGAUGCUACGCGCCAAGAUCCGCGGUAUCGGGAGCCCGGUCAGCGGCAGCUUCCAGAGAACCAUAAGCGAGUCAGGCAUCGACAACCUGAGGGAAGAGGUAGACUGGAACCAGAAGUCGUAUGCUAUGUCGCAGAAGACCAUGUCAGAGUUUAGUUCAUCGAUGGAAGAUCUUACACACGAUAAUUUUAUCCUGAGAAAGAGACCAGACAGUUCUGAAAUGCGGUCUGUGACUGUUAACCACGCGAAGGCGACAAGAGUUUUAAGUCAGCCGUAAAUUGGCUACUACAGGUAGAUCACUAAGCAAAAAAGGUAGAACAAAGAGCCACAGGAAAACAAAAGCCACGUGUAGACCAUAAAGCUAUAUGUAGACCAUUAAGCCACAGGUGGACCAUAAAGCUAUAUGUAGACCAUUAAGCCACAGGUGGACCAUAAAGCUAUAUGUAGACCAUUAAGCCACAGGUGGACCAUAAAGCUAUAUGUAGACCAUUUAGCCACAGGUGGACCAUAAAGCUAUAUGUAGACCAUUAAGCCACAGGUGGACCAUUAAGCUAUAUGUAGACCAUUAAGCCACAGGUGGACCAUAAAGCUAUAUGUAGACCAUUAAGCCACAGGUGGACCAUUAAGCUAUAUGUAGACCAUUAAGCCACAGGUGGACCAUAAAGCUAUAUGUAGACCAUUAAGCCACAGGUGGACCAUAAAGCUAUAUGUAGACCAUUAAGCCACAGGUGGACCAUAAAGCUAUAUGUAGACCAUUAAGCCACAGGUGGACCAUAAAGCUAUAUGUAGACCAUUAAGCCACAGGUGGACCAUAAAGCUAUAUGUAGACCAUUAAGCCACAGGUGGACCAUAAAGCUAUAUGUAGACCAUUAAGCCACAGGUGGACCAUAAAGCUAUAUGUAGACCAUUAAGCCACAGGUGGACCAUAAAGCUAUAUGUAGACCAUUUAGCCACAGGUGGACCAUAAAGCUAUAUGUAGACCAUUAAGCCACAGGUGGACCAUUAAGCUAUAUGUAGACCAUUAAGCCACAGGUGGACCAUAAAGCUAUAUGUAGACCAUUAAGCCACAGGUGGACCAUUAAGCUAUAUGUAGACCAUUAAGCCACAGGUGGACCAUUAAGCUAGCGCUAGACACAGGCAGACCAUUAUGUCACAGGUAAACAACAAAGACACAGGUAGACCGAAAGCCACAUGUAAAGCACAAUGCCAUAUGCAGAUAAAACAGCCACUUGGCAUACCAGAAAGCUACAGGUAGAUAGAUCACACAAUGCUAAGGCAGACCAUUAAGUCAUUGGUAGGCCAUCGUGCUAUUGGGCCCAAGUUUAAUCAAAAGGCCGCACCGCAAAGCCAAAGGUAAAUAGAAAAGCCACUGGGCAAACAAGAAAGCCACAGGCAGACCACAAAGCCAAUAAAAGUUGAUUAGAAAGGCCACUGGGCCAACUUGAGUGGGUAAACCAGAAAGCCACAGGUAGACCAAAAGCCACAUGUAAAACACUAAGCCAUAGGCAGAUAAAAAAGCCACUGGGCAUACCAGAUAACCACAAGUAGAUGACACAAAGCGUAAAGGCAGACCACUAAGCCACAGGUUGGCCGCAAAGCCACGGGGCAAACCAGAAAGCCACAGAAAAGAACUACUGAUGACACCCUAACAAUGUGCUAGUGCUUUUAAUAUUAUUGUUAGAAUUGUUAGUAUUCAACUGCUUUUGAUUUCCAAUGCAAAUUGGCUGGUGAGUAGACCGAAAAGCCACUUACGAAGCCACAUGCUGACUACGAGGCCCCAGUAAGACCGCAAUGCCACAGGAAGACCACAAGGACACAGGAAGACCAGAUAGCCACAGGUAGACUUCGAAACCGCGAGGCCACAGGUAGACUGCGAGGCUACAGGUAGACCUCUAGGCCACUGGGAGACCGCAAGGCCACAGGUAGACCACGACUUCUGACACUACAUUUUGGUAGAAUUUUUUGGUGUGAAGAAAAGUGGUUGACGCUUCAAAAAGAUCAAAGUUGUAUAUAUAUAUAUUGAUUACCCAUCUUUUACGAGGAUUUAUGUGAAGGUUCUUGUACAUUUUAGGAUAUUUUUAGUAGAACAAUAUUUACCACUAGUUAUUGACAGCGCAUCCGACAAUAUACGGAUCUAAAAAAAUAUUUGAUAGGCAAUUUCUUUUUCGUGAAACCAUGGUUCUAGGUAAUGAAUAUUGAAAGCUUUAUGAUAUCCAGUACAAUCUGGAAUAAUUACUACUCAUGUUUUUGUAUCCACCGUCAUUAAACCUUUUUAUAUACCUUU